GGUAUUUGUGGCUCAGAGGUAGAGUGCUCACCUGGCAUGCGUGAGGCACUGGGUUCGCUCCUCAGUACCA
Molecule: transfer RNA, 70 nt
Filed under: Marmota monax (woodchuck)
Lineage: Eukaryota; Metazoa; Chordata; Mammalia; Rodentia; Sciuridae
Description: tRNA.Ala
Source: RNAcentral